This is a microRNA precursor of Sorghum bicolor (sorghum), 109 nucleotides long. It matches the Rfam family "MIR5565 microRNA precursor family". The record is from Rfam. NCBI's taxonomy places the organism in Eukaryota, Viridiplantae, Streptophyta, Magnoliopsida, Poales, Poaceae.
GUUGUCGUAUUUACUUCAAUCCAUGUGUGUUAGCGUGGAUUGGAGUGGAAUUUAGUUCAAGUUCCACUCCAAUCCACCUCAACACAUGUGGAUUGAUGUGAAUACGACU